RNAcentral lists this ribosomal RNA (433 nucleotides) under uncultured bacterium. RNAcentral describes it as "partial 16S ribosomal RNA". It matches the Rfam family "Bacterial small subunit ribosomal RNA", at positions 29 to 507 of the family's 1533-position model. The record is from RNAcentral.
AACGAACGCUGGCGGCAUGCCUAACACAUGCAAGUCGAACGAGACCUUCGGGUCUAGUGGCGCACGGGUGCGUAACGCGUGGGAACCUGCCCUUAGGUUCGGAAUAACUCCCCGAAAGGGGUGCUAAUACCGGAUAAUGUCUUCGGACCAAAGAUUUAUCGCCUUUGGAUGGGCCCGCGUUGGAUUAGCUAGUUGGUAGGGUAAAAGCCUACCAAGGCGACGAUCCAUAGCUGGUCUGAGAGGAUGAUCAGCCACACUGGGACUGAGACACGGCCCAGACUCCUACGGGAGGCAGCAGUGGGGAAUAUUGGACAAUGGGCGAAAGCAUGAUCCAGCAAUGCCGCGUGAGUGAUGAAGGCCUUAGGGUUGUAAAGCUCUUUUACCCGGGAUGAUAAUGACAGUACCGGGAGAAUAAGCUCCGGCUAACUCCGUG